RNAcentral lists this transfer-messenger RNA (361 nucleotides) under Rhizobiaceae bacterium. It matches the Rfam family "Alphaproteobacteria transfer-messenger RNA". From Rfam's summary of the family: Bacterial tmRNA, also known as 10Sa RNA or SsrA, is named for its dual tRNA and mRNA-like properties. The record is from RNAcentral. Lineage: Bacteria; Pseudomonadati; Pseudomonadota; Alphaproteobacteria; Hyphomicrobiales; Rhizobiaceae.
AGCCUUUAAAUUCCCGGCCGCUUCUCUUAUAUUGGUUGUGCUGGGCAACCAGCUAUGACGAUAAAUUGCCUGUGCAAUAAACCAUUCGGACCCGGGGGCGGUACCCGGCGCCUCCACCACAAGCCCUUCCUGCCGCAGAAGGUUUUGUGAUGGGGGCGAAACAGGAUCGACGAGGGUGUAAAGACAGUGUUUUCGUUCGGUAUUGUACCACCGUUAUCGGGCUAAAUUUCUAGUUGCAAACGACAACUAUGCGGAAGCUCGUCUAGCUGCUUAAUUGCGGUUCGACAGUUUCACACUGAACUCCUGACGGUUCGCACUGUCAGGCGGGGUCCGAAGGCACCUGGCAACAGAAGCCUUCACC